Molecule: long non-coding RNA, 1196 nt
Organism: Tripterygium wilfordii
Lineage: Eukaryota; Viridiplantae; Streptophyta; Magnoliopsida; Celastrales; Celastraceae
Exons: 2
Source: RefSeq, a predicted model, not a curated record
UUUUUUUUUUUUCUAUUGGAGAAAAAUUGUUUAGCAAUUGGGUUGAAUGAUGGGUGUCGGUGGAUUUUUUUUGUCUUCCAUGAUCUCAUGAUCCUGUGUUUGAGUUUGAAUGGAAGUUUGGUGGAACCUUGGAGUCGUGGUUCUGGUUUGUAGUUAAAGCAUACUUUUUGAAGCCUGAAUUACACGACAAACCCUAUUAUGGUAAAAAGGAUACUCUUGGCUGGAAAAUUUGUGAAUUUUAGCCCAAAACAUGCAUCAUUUCAUUUCUAGCAUUUAUUUUUGACAUUCUGUUAUUAAAAAAGAUGGGUAUAUACUAGUUGCUUUUGACUAUGUGAAGGAAGAGUUUCAGUUGCUGCCAUAGCCAGAAUAUACCGAAGUGUUGGACCACAAUCAUCUUAUGGUUUUUGGAGGAGGAUUGUGUGUGUUAUCAUUUAGUCAUGAAAAUCAGCCUACGCUCUUUUUGAUGAAGCACUAUGGAUUGAGAGAUUCUUGGAACAAGUGACAUGGCCACUUGGGGAUAUUCCUUUUGGAUUUAAGUUUGUUAGGCUUUAAUGUAAUCAAAGAGGCGUGAUAAAAUGCUCUUACACAUCUCAGGGAGAGCUUCAGUUAUAUGACUUAGAAGAGAGAAAAGUUUCAGCAACCGGGAUCUGUGAUGGACUGCCUAAAUUUACUGUUUUGAUUUGUUUGGAACGCCAUGUUAUGCUUGGUGAAGAUGAUGAGUUUGAUGGAGCUCUCCAAUCUGUUAGUAAUAAUGCUUCUUGUAGCAGGAAUGAAGACGAACUGCUCAACGAGAAAAGCAUCUGAAAUGUUGCUCUCUGUGACAGCAUAAUUCGUCCGUCUGUCAAAGGUAUUGCUUCCAUGACAGGCUUGUUAGAACUUGAAGAUUUUCUCUGCAUAUGCUGGGAGUUCAUAUGCUUUGAUUUUGUUUAAGAAGAUUGUUCUCAUCAUUUGUUUGGAAUCCAAAACACGUUUGAUCUUCAACAAAGAAAGAGUAGCUGUUCAAAGUGUUUUGAUGGGCCACUUCUUUUGUCUCGUCUCUCUCUUAUUCUUUUUUUGAGAACAGGGGAUUCAAACCCUGAUUAUUAAGGUGAUACACACUAUCCUUAUCAUUGUAAUUAAUGGCUCGGGGUGGCUCGAUCCUCUUUUACCACUUGUGGUUUCAUUGGAUCUGAAUAUAAUGCAAAAUUUCCAUUUAA